CAGGGUGAGCCAGCUUCGGGAUUGCAACUGAGAAGUGGGACUAUUAAAAGAAAGUCAUGCCCAGGUGGCUCACCAAGCUGGAGAAGGGACAAGAGACCUCUGGAGCUUCGCCUUUAUAGCUGAUUGCUUUUUGAAUCCCAGCCAUCCCAGCCUCCACAGUCUGAAGCAGAAACAUCUCAUCCAAACUGCAUUUGUGUGAGCAAGAAAUAAAUGCAGACAGUUAUAUGCCAAGGAGAUUUUAUAGUUGCUUGUUAUGUAAUAACAAUGACUAAUAGAGAAAUGAUUGAAGAGUACUGAAUCACAACAUUACUAGCUCAACCUGCUCCCCAGAAAAUUGCUAAUAAAGACAAUAAUAACAAGAA
This is a long non-coding RNA of Homo sapiens (human), 362 nucleotides long. RefSeq lists it as uncharacterized. The record is from RefSeq and is a predicted model, not a curated record. The transcript is spliced from 2 exons. NCBI's taxonomy places the organism in Eukaryota, Metazoa, Chordata, Mammalia, Primates, Hominidae.